GAUGAACGCUGGCGGCGCGCCUACCACAUGCAAGUCGAACGGUUAAAGCACCUUUUAGGUGUGUAUAAAGUGGCGAACGGCUGAGUAACACGUGGGCAACCUGCCCUCCUCUUGGGGAUAGCCUCGGGAAACCGAGGAUAAUACCCGAUACUUCAAUGUGGCCGCAUGACGACAUUGAGAAAGCUUUUGCGGAGAAGGAUGGGCCCGCGGCCUGUUAGCUUGUUGGUGGGGUAGAGGCCUACCAAGGCAAUGAUGGGUAGCUGGGUUGAGAGACCGACCAGCCAGAUUGGGACUGAGACACGGCCCAGACUCCUACGGGAGGCAGCAGUGGGGAAUCUUGCACAAUGGGCGAAAGCCUGAUGCAGCGACGCCGCGUGCGGGACGAAGGCCUUCGGGUUGUAAACCGCUUUCAGCAGGGACGAGGCGAUAAGUGACGGUACCUGCAGAAGAAGCCCCGGCUAACUACGUG
Molecule: ribosomal RNA, 469 nt
Filed under: uncultured bacterium
Lineage: Bacteria
Description: partial 16S ribosomal RNA
Rfam family: Bacterial small subunit ribosomal RNA
Source: RNAcentral